RNAcentral lists this transfer RNA (76 nucleotides) under Erwinia phage vB_EamM_Stratton. Its description in RNAcentral is "tRNA-Met". It matches the Rfam family "tRNA". Rfam says of the family: Transfer RNA (tRNA) molecules are approximately 80 nucleotides in length. The record is from RNAcentral. Lineage: Duplodnaviria; Heunggongvirae; Uroviricota; Caudoviricetes; Chimalliviridae.
GGUUCUGUAGCUUAGCUGGUAGAGCACGCCACUCAUAAUGGCGCGGUCGUUGGUUCGAAUCCAGCCAGAACCACCA